Molecule: transfer RNA, 73 nt
Filed under: Ailuropoda melanoleuca (giant panda)
Lineage: Eukaryota; Metazoa; Chordata; Mammalia; Carnivora; Ursidae
Rfam family: tRNA
About the family: Transfer RNA (tRNA) molecules are approximately 80 nucleotides in length. Their secondary structure includes four short double-helical elements and three loops (D, anti-codon, and T loops). Further hydrogen bonds mediate the characteristic L-shaped molecular structure. tRNAs have two regions of fundamental functional importance: the anti-codon, which is responsible for specific mRNA codon recognition, and the 3' end, to which the tRNAs corresponding amino acid is attached (by aminoacyl-tRNA synthetases). tRNAs cope with the degeneracy of the genetic code in two manners: having more than one tRNA (with a specific anti-codon) for a particular amino acid; and 'wobble' base-pairing, i.e. permitting non-standard base-pairing at the 3rd anti-codon position.
Source: Rfam by way of RNAcentral
GCCUGGCUGGCUCAGUUGGUAGAGCAUGUGACUCUUGAUCUCAGGGUUGUGAGUUUGAGGUCCACACUGGGUA